UACGUAGGUGGCGAGCGUUGUCCGGAAUUACUGGGUGUAAAGGGAGCGUAGGCGGGGGAUCAAGUUGGAUGUGAAAUACCGCAGCUUAACUGCGGGGCUGCAUCCAAAACUGGUUCUCUUGAGUGAAGUAGAGGCAGGCGGAAUUCCUAGUGUAGCGGUGAAAUGCGUAGAUAUUAGGAGGAACACCAGUGGCGAAGGCGGCCUGCUGGGCUUUAACUGACGCUGAGGCUCGAAAGCGUGGGGAGCAAACAGG
Molecule: ribosomal RNA, 253 nt
Filed under: uncultured bacterium
Lineage: Bacteria
Description: partial 16S ribosomal RNA
Rfam family: Bacterial small subunit ribosomal RNA
Source: RNAcentral